This 1756-nucleotide long non-coding RNA is filed under the name Paramuricea clavata. The record is from RNAcentral. Lineage: Eukaryota; Metazoa; Cnidaria; Anthozoa; Malacalcyonacea; Plexauridae.
GCUGUCGUUGUAAACACAUCUCAGAAAAUCUAUCGUUUUAGAAAAUGGCGCAUAUUUUUCGCUCCUGGCAUGGGAUUAAAGCUUCUCUUUUGGAAGCAGUGAAGUACCUCAUCUGAUUUAUGUUUGUUGGGUCCUCACAGCUUUUGUAUUUAGCCCCUGAUGGAGUAACGUGUGUUGAGCAGUGCCGUAAGAUUAACGUUGGUUUCAGCUGAGAAGCCAUGCAAUUUUUCUAUCAACUGUGAAUGGGGUUAAAGUUGCCCAAAUGUUUACCGAAUGAUGCAUUCUAGUUGUGUUUUUAAGGUGAGCUUUUCACAGUAAGAGGUUAUAUUGAAGUUGUAGAUAUUCGAGCACUUUAUAGAAACAUCAAACAUGCACAGCCUCAAUAAAUAUGGAUACGAUUUAUAUCAAAUUUGCCAUGUUUUAAUAAGGGUAUUAUAAAAUUGCCAUAUAUAAUAAAUGUAACUAACACCAGUUAUAUCGACUUCAGUAAUAAUAUUCACUACAGAAACUUCAUAUCAUGAUAAAGAUUUAAAAUCGUAACAAGUUUUGGAAGCCACUUUAAAUUUUUAGGGCAUAUAUGUAGGACUUUGUACAAUCUUUUAUACAGUAUCUCCUGAAGUUUAUUCUGACAUAAAACUGAUUUGUUCUUGUAUAUCUUGUAUUAGUUCUUCGACUUGGAUGACCCUGGCAAAGAGAAUAUUCAAUAUAUGUAAUAUUUUGUGGGAAUUUGGUAUUCUACCAUCACCAUAAAGUGAUGGUCAAGAGUUGGAUGCUGUACUCCACCACCAAAUCAGUAAAAAGACAAGCACCAUGUAAUUGCUACCAUCAACAUAUGAAUCCUGUCUGCUUAGUAGAUCUACCAUCUCAUUGAGAGUCAACAGAUAAGAUGAUGAAGAGGUACAUGUAUGUGAUAUUGAUGAGACAGGUUUUAUACCCAGGUUUGAGGUGUAUGUCUGUAUGCCAUCAGACAAAUUAAACUAACAGACAACCAUAAAUGGUAAAAUAUAUAACUCUGUGCAGCCACGUACAGUUCUGGUACACGACGGUCACUAGUUAUAAACAGAAUAAAGACACAAGUCAAUUGAUUUUGAAAUUAUUUUAUUUUAUGAAAUGUUGCACUAUUUCCAUUUUUAAAACCAAAAUACAUGGGAAGUAUAAGGUUAGAAGAACAGGAAACAGUGCUUUUAAUGUGCAUACCCCUAUCUAAACCUACUGUAUAAAAUAUUAUCUAGAGUCAUAAAAUAUUAAAAUUAUUUAUACCUAUUUAUAUAUUUAUAUGUUAACUGCUUAACUUAUUUAUUUUUUAAAAUUAUGAUUUUACAUUGUGAGUGCACCAGAACUCGGUUCCAGCCGGCUAGUUCUUGCCGGAACUAAUAAAAAAAGCAUGACUGGAACUCUGUUGUUUUCAGAGAGAUAGAAUAUUAUACGUUUUUGUGGCAAACCAAAGUUCACAGUAGGAAGGAAUUUGGACUACACAAGGAAAAUGUACAUGACGUUUAAAGUUUGUCAAUCUUUUUAUUCUCACAUUUGUGAGCUCUCCUUGAUGACUUGAAGUGUCUGCCUGUCUGGCAGCAGACAAAGUAACAUAUGACUAUAUAUGGCUUAAUAAAUCAGUUCCGGCAGGAACUUUAAAAAUUGGUUCUGGUGCACCCCUAUUUUACAUAUUACUACAGCAUGGCUUAAUGUCAAUAAUAUAUACUAUGGUGUAAUGUGAAAUGUAAAACUGAUGAAGUAUGAAUAAAGUUUAAAAUAUGCC